RNAcentral lists this long non-coding RNA (913 nucleotides) under Anas platyrhynchos platyrhynchos (common mallard). RNAcentral describes it as "lncRNA (ENSAPLG00000024097.1)". Lineage: Eukaryota; Metazoa; Chordata; Aves; Anseriformes; Anatidae. The record is from RNAcentral.
GAAGUUGUGAGUGCAAAAUGUAUUCCUUAUGCAGAUAGCUAAAAGGAUUUAUCCAUACAUCAUAUUCAUAUAUGUAUAGAUUUUUAAAGAAACUCCUAUUUCUGAAUAUUAGUGAAAGUAGAGAUCAUUCUUUCCUUUUUUACACAACUUUGUGACAACAGAAAUAUUAAUAAACUCUUUUCUAGCUCAAGUUCUACGGUUACAGGAGCAGUUGUACUGAUUUCUUAUACCCUUUCAUUGCUUUUUACCUUGGAGCACUCUGAAAGACAUUGCUGUGAGUUUGCUAGCCCAGCAGAGGGUUUGCAUUCACAGGGGAUUUGCAGCAGUGCAUGUCCUGGGGGUGGCUGCCCCCCUGUCACCAGCAGUGCUGAAGCGGGACACAGUGCUCUGGAAGUGUGACCACUUAAUAAAAGGAUGCCAUCUGGUACCUCUCAUGCCCAGGACUGCAGUCAGCAGAGCAUGCACGAUGGAGUCAUCUGCAAGUUGCCAGUCAGAAGAACAAUUUUCCAGAUAUUCCAGAAUCUCGGAUGUCCUGGAACAGAUUAAAACCUUGCUGCUGGAGGAACUUAGCUAAUUCCAGGAAUCUGUACCUUAAAUGGAAAUGAGCAGAAUUUAUCUGGUAUCAUCAGUGAUGAAGUUACCUGGUACGUUACCUUCUACUGUGCACAGUGAACUGCUGGAUGCUUCAAUGGAAAAGGAGCCUGACUCCUCAUUUAGCACCAGAUAUAGGAAUGCUCAGGAUUCACGCUUUCAUCUAGAUGAACACAUGGGCUAUCUAACCUGUCUUUUAAAAUGUUGCUGCAUAUCAGAGGUUGAAGAGAUUGAUGAAAAGACAACAACAAUACAAAACCCAUUUGUAUAUUCAAAGUGUGAUGAUGUUCCAUUUAUGGAAAAGCUCCCAACCUUAGUGUAG